This 553-nucleotide long non-coding RNA is filed under the name Mytilus galloprovincialis (Mediterranean mussel). The record is from RNAcentral. Lineage: Eukaryota; Metazoa; Mollusca; Bivalvia; Mytilida; Mytilidae.
AAACAAACCGGGGUGUGGUAUUCAGUACGUAGGAGAAACUGGACGAUAUUUAUCUAAACGCACUCAAGAACAUCUGUAUCGUUUUAAAAGACCAAAUAAAUUCAAAAGUAUCAUUUAUCAACACCUUAAGAAGCACAACCAUCCUUUUAAAUAUUUAGCAGUUCAACCUUUAGAAGUAGUAAAUAAGCAGCCUGGUGAAUCGCAUUCAAAGUUUGUACGAUCACGGAAAAUAAUUGAAUUAAAUUGGAUUAAAAAAUUACAGACAGUUUACCCUCUCGGUCUAAAUGAUAAUAUCAUGGGAAUUGGUAAUAUAUCUAGAACCAAUUCCGUUAACAUUUUGGAUAUAGUUUCUAAAACUGUUCGUAAAAACCGUUCUCACGGUCGUAGAACAAAUCGCAAUCAAAGAAAAUUUCGGGCCAAUCAUACCAAUAUUUCGGACCUAAUUUCUAUUUCAAAAAACAACGGCAGACAUUAUCUGUUAACAAAACUCUGUUCGUUACCGGUUAAUAAGUUAAAUAAAAUUUUGGAGGAUUGCAACACAAUUUCAUAUAGC